CCCUCCACUCUGGGAUAAGCGCUGGAAACGGCGUCUAAUACUGGAUACGACCGACCCUCGCAUGGGGUGUUGGUGGAAAGAUUUAUCGGUGGAGGAUGGACUCGCGGCCUAUCAGCUUGUUGGUGGGGUAAUGGCCUACCAAGGCGACGACGGGUAGCCGGCCUGAGAGGGCGACCGGCCACACUGGGACUGAGACACGGCCCAGACUCCUACGGGAGGCAGCAGUGGGGAAUAUUGCACAAUGGGCGAAAGCCUGAUGCAGCGACGCCGCGUGAGGGAUGACGGCCUUCGGGUUGUAAACCUCUUUCAGCAGGGAAGAAGCUUUUGUGACGGUACCUGCAGAAGAAGCACCGGCUAACUACGUGCCAGCAGCCGCGGUAAUACGUAGGGUGCGAGCGUUGUCCGGAAUUAUUGGGCGUAAAGAGCUUGUAGGCGGUUUGUCGCGUCUGCUGUGAAAAUUCAGGGCUUAACCCUGGACGUGCAGUGGGUACGGGCAGACUAGAGUGUGGUAGGGGAGACUGGAAUUCCUGGUGUAGCGGUGGAAUGCGCAGAUAUCAGGAGGAACACCGAUGGCGAAGGCAGGUCUCUGGGCCAUUACUGACGCUGAGAAGCGAAAGCAUGGGGAGCGAACAGGAUUAGAUACCCUGGUAGUCCAUGCCGUAAACGUUGGGCGCUAGGCGUGGGUCUCAUUCCACGAGAUCCGUGUCGCAGCUAACGCAUUAAGCGCCCCGCCUGGGGAGUACGGCCGCAAGGCUAAAACUCAAAGGAAUUGACGGGGGCCCGCACAAGCGGCGGAGCAUGCUGAUUAAUUCGAUGCAACGCGAAGAACCUUACCAAGGCUUGACAUGCACCGGAUCGCCUCAGAGAUGGGGUUUCCCUUUGGGCUGGUGCACAGGUGGUGCAUGGUUGUCGUCAGCUCGUGUCGUGAGAUGUUGGGUUAAGUCCCGCAACGAGCGCAACCCUCGUUCUAUGUUGCCAGCACGUGAUGGUGGGGACUCAUAGGAGACUGCCGGGGUCAACUCGGAGGAAGGUGGGGAUGACGUCAAAUCAUCAUGCCCCUUAUGUCUUGGGCUUCAAG
Molecule: ribosomal RNA, 1078 nt
Filed under: Kytococcus aerolatus
Lineage: Bacteria; Bacillati; Actinomycetota; Actinomycetes; Micrococcales; Kytococcaceae
Description: bacterial SSU rRNA
Rfam family: Bacterial small subunit ribosomal RNA
Source: RNAcentral